AUUUAAAUAACUUAAUAGAUAGAGUGUUAUAUUGAAGAUAUAAAAGUGAUUAAUUUAAAUCUUUAAAUA
RNAcentral lists this transfer RNA (69 nucleotides) under Hydropsyche fulvipes. RNAcentral's name for it is "tRNA-Phe". Lineage: Eukaryota; Metazoa; Arthropoda; Insecta; Trichoptera; Hydropsychidae. The record is from RNAcentral.